RNAcentral lists this ribosomal RNA (421 nucleotides) under uncultured Paraprevotella sp. RNAcentral's name for it is "bacterial SSU rRNA". It matches the Rfam family "Bacterial small subunit ribosomal RNA", at positions 355 to 774 of the family's 1533-position model. Lineage: Bacteria; Pseudomonadati; Bacteroidota; Bacteroidia; Bacteroidales; Prevotellaceae. The record is from RNAcentral.
UGAGGAAUAUUGGUCAAUGGGCGGGAGCCUGAACCAGCCAAGUAGCGUGAAGGAUGACAGCCCUAUGGGUUUUAAACUUCUUUUAUAAGGGAAUAAAGUGCCCCACGUGUGGGGUUUUGUAUGUACCUUAUGAAUAAGCAUCGGCUAAUUCCGUGCCAGCAGCCGCGGUAAUACGGAAGAUGCGAGCGUUAUCCGGAUUUAUUGGGUUUAAAGGGAGCGUAGGCGGUUCCAUAAGUCAGCGGUAAAAUCGUGCGGCUCAACCGUACCGUGCCGUUGAAACUGUGGGACUUGAGUAUGCGCAGGGUACAUGGAAUUCGUGGUGUAGCGGUGAAAUGCUUAGAUAUCACGAAGAACUCCGAUCGCGAAGGCAUUGUACCGGAGCAAGACUGACGCUGAGGCUCGAAAGUGCGGGUAUCAAACA